UUACUUACCUGCCAGGGGAGGUACCGUGAUCAUGAAGGUGGUAUUCCUUGGGCAAGGCUUAUCCAUUGCACUCCGGAUGUGCUGACUCCUGAGAUUUCCCCAAAUGUGGGAAACUCGACUGUAUAAUUUGUGGNNNNN
This 138-nucleotide small nuclear RNA is filed under the name Erinaceus europaeus (western European hedgehog). Its description in RNAcentral is "U1 spliceosomal RNA". It matches the Rfam family "U1 spliceosomal RNA", at positions 1 to 139 of the family's 166-position model. From Rfam's summary of the family: U1 is a small nuclear RNA (snRNA) component of the spliceosome (involved in pre-mRNA splicing). Its 5' end forms complementary base pairs with the 5' splice junction, thus defining the 5' donor site of an intron. There are significant differences in sequence and secondary structure between metazoan and yeast U1 snRNAs, the latter being much longer (568 nucleotides as compared to 164 nucleotides in human). Lineage: Eukaryota; Metazoa; Chordata; Mammalia; Eulipotyphla; Erinaceidae. The record is from Rfam by way of RNAcentral.